GAUAAACGCUAGCGGCAGGCUUAACACAUGCAAGUCGAGGGGCAGCAUAGAUUGUAGCAAUACAAUUGGUGGCGACCGGCGCACGGGUGCGUAACGCGUAUGCAACCUACCCGUCACAGGGGGAUAAUCCGGAGAAAUCUGGUCUAAUACCCCAUAACAUAUGGAUCGGCAUCGGUUCAUGUUGAAAUUUUCGGAGGUGACGGAUGGGCAUGCGUAGCAUUAGCUUGUUGGUGAGGUAACGGCUCACCAAGGCGACGAUGCUUAGGGGGGCUGAGAGGUUUUCCCCCCACACUGGUAAUGAGACACGGACCAGACUCCUACGGGAGGCAGCAGUGAGGAGUAUUGGUCAAUGGGCGCAAGCCUGAACCAGCCAUGCCGCGUGCAGGAUGACGGCUCUAUGAGUUGUAAACUGCUUUUGUACGAGGGUAAAGUGGGUUACGUGUAACCUUUUGAAAGUAUCGUACGAAUAAGGAUCGGCUAACUCCGUGCCAGCCGCCGCCGUAA
RNAcentral lists this ribosomal RNA (504 nucleotides) under uncultured bacterium. RNAcentral's name for it is "partial 16S ribosomal RNA". It matches the Rfam family "Bacterial small subunit ribosomal RNA", at positions 28 to 523 of the family's 1533-position model. The record is from RNAcentral.